AUGGCGCCCGCUGCAGGGCUGGUCCUGGCUUCGCUCGCCGUGGUGCUGGCAACCACGCUGUGGAAGGCUGCGGUGCACCUGGUGUGGCGCCCCUACGCCGUAGCGAGGGCCUUCCGGCGGCAGGGGAUCCGCGGGCCGGCGUACCGGUUCUUCGUCGGCAACAACGAGGAGGUCAUGGCGAUGCGCGCGGCGACGGCCGACGACGUGCUCGACCUCGGCUCCCACGACAUCAUCGCGCGGGUGAUGCCGCAGUACAAGGCGUGGGUGGCGUCCUACGGUAAGAUUUUCCUCUCGUGGUCGGGGUAUACGCCGUCGCUCUGCGUCGGCGACCACGACAUGGUGAAGCAGAUCCUGUCCAACAAGACCGGGCUGUACGCCAAGCCCAACCCGGGGCCCAACUUCCUGGCCCUGCUGGGCAAGGGCCUCGUCUUCUCCGACGGCGACGACUGGGCGCGCCACCGCCGCAUCGUGCACCCGGCGUUCACCAUGGACAAGCUCAAGAUGAUGACCAGGACGAUGGCGGAGUGCGCGGGGGACAUGGUCCGGCCGUGGGAGGCGCUCGCCGAGGCGAGCGACGGCGGCGUGGCGAGGGUGGACGACGUCGGCCAGCAGUUCGUGGAGCUGACCGCCGACGUGAUCUCGCACACGGCGUUCGGGAGCAGCUACAGGGAGGGGAAGGAGGUGUUCGUGGCGCAGCGGGAGCUCCAGUACAUCGCCUUCUCCACCAUGAACAACGUCCGUGUCCCGGGCCUCGAGAACCUCCCCACCAAGACCAACCUGCGACGGCGGCAGCUCACGGGCAAGGUGCGCGGCACGCUCAUGGCGAUCAUCCGCGAGCGGCAGGCCGCCGCUAAGGAGGCCAAAGGCUACGGCAACGACUUGCUUGGCCUGAUGCUCGAGGCCAACGCGUCGGUCGGCGCCGGCGGCCAGAAGGCGGCCGCCAUUAGCAUGGACGAGAUCAUCGACGAGUGCAAGACCUUCUUCUUCGCCGGGCACGACACAACCUCGCACCUCCUCACCUGGGCCAUCUUCCUCCUCGGCACGCACCCCGAGUGGCAGCAGAAGCUCAGGGAGGAGGUACUCCGGGAGUGCGGCGGCACGGGCACGCCGCUGCACGGCGACGCGCUCAACAAGCUCAAGCUGACGACGAUGGUGCUUUACGAGACGCUGAGGCUCUACGGCGCUGUGAUCAUGAUAGCGAGGGAGACAACGGCGGACACCGAACUCGGCGGCGUGAAGAUCCCCAGGGGAACGACUACCAUGAUACCGAUGGCGAUCAUGCACCGGGACGAGGAGGUGUGGGGCGCGGAAGCCGGCAAGUUCAAGCCGGACCGGUUUCAGAACGGCGUGGGCAGAGCCGCGAAGCACCCGAGCGCGAUGCUCGCCUUCUCCGCCGGCCCGCGGUCGUGCAUCGGGCAGGACUUCGCGAUGCUGGAGGCCAAGGCGACGCUCGCCGAAAUCCUGCGCCGGUUCGAGUUCGAGGUCGCGCCGGAAUACGUGCACGCGCCGGCCGAGUUCCUGACGCUGCAGCCCAAGUGCGGGCUCCCCGUGCUGCUCAAGCUCCUGGAUCAGGAAGAGUAG
This 1581-nucleotide ribosomal RNA is filed under the name Triticum aestivum (bread wheat). Its description in RNAcentral is "partial small subunit ribosomal RNA". The record is from RNAcentral. Lineage: Eukaryota; Viridiplantae; Streptophyta; Magnoliopsida; Poales; Poaceae.